CCAGACUCCUACGGGAGGCAGCAGUAAGGGAUAUUGGUCAGUGGGGGAAACCCUGAACCAGCAACGCCGCGUGAGGGAAGACGGUUUUCGGAUUGUAAACCUCUGUCCUCUGUGAAGAUGAUGACGGUAGCAGAGGAGGAAGCUCCGGCUGACUACGUGCCAGCAGCCGCGGUAAUACGUAGGGGGCAAGCGUUAUCCGGAUUUACUGGGUGUAAAGGGAGCGUAGACGGUCCUGCAAGCCAGAUGUGAAAGCCCGGGGCUCAACCCCGGGACUGCAUUUGGAACUGUAAGGCUAGAGUGUCGGAGAGGCAGGCGGAAUUCCUAGUGUAGCGGUGAAAUGCGUAGAUAUUAGGAGGAACACCAGUGGCGAAGGCGGCCUGCUGGACGAUGACUGACGUUGAGGCUCGAAAGCGUGGGGAGCAAACAGGAUUAGAUACCCCCGUAACA
Molecule: ribosomal RNA, 447 nt
Filed under: uncultured bacterium
Lineage: Bacteria
Description: bacterial SSU rRNA
Rfam family: Bacterial small subunit ribosomal RNA
Source: RNAcentral